CAGCAGCCACGGUAAUACGGAGGGCGCGAGCGUUACCCGGAUUUACUGGGCGUAAAGGGCGUGUAGGCGGCCUGGGGCGUCCCAUGUGAAAGGCCACGGCUCAACCGUGGAGGAGCGUGGGAUACGCUCAGGCUAGAGGGUGGGAGAGGGUGGUGGAAUUCCCGGAGUAGCGGUGAAAUGCGCAGAUACCGGGAGGAACGCCGAUGACGAAGGCAGCCACCUGGUCCACUUCUGACGCUGAGGCGCGAAAGCGUGGGGAGCAAACCGGAUUAGAUACCCCAGUAGUCCCUGUCUCUUAUAC
This 301-nucleotide ribosomal RNA is filed under the name uncultured bacterium. Its description in RNAcentral is "partial 16S ribosomal RNA". It matches the Rfam family "Bacterial small subunit ribosomal RNA", at positions 509 to 807 of the family's 1533-position model. The record is from RNAcentral.